Molecule: ribosomal RNA, 421 nt
Filed under: uncultured bacterium
Lineage: Bacteria
Description: bacterial SSU rRNA
Rfam family: Bacterial small subunit ribosomal RNA
Source: RNAcentral
AUUGAACGCUGGCGGCAUGCUUUACACAUGCAAGUCGAACGGUAACAGGUCUUCGGAUGCUGACGAGUGGCGAACGGGUGAGUAAUGUAUCGGAACGUGCCCAGUAGUGGGGGAUAACUACUCGAAAGAGUGGCUAAUACCGCAUGAGAACUGAGGUUGAAAGCGGGGGACCGUUCGGGCCUCGCGCUACUGGAGCGGCCGAUAUCAGAUUAGGUAGUUGUGGGGUAAAGGCCUACCAAGCCGACGAUCUGUAGCUGGUCUGAGAGGACGACCAGCCACACUGGGACUGAGACACGGCCCAGACUCCUACGGGAGGCAGCAGUGGGGGAAUUUUGGACAAUGGACGCAAGUCUGAUCCAGCAAUGCCGCGUGCAGGACGAAGGCCUUCGGUGUAAGACUCUUUGUUCAGAGAAGAAACAAG